This 304-nucleotide long non-coding RNA is filed under the name Trifolium pratense (red clover). RNAcentral's name for it is "long non-coding RNA (TPRA_LNC004441)". Lineage: Eukaryota; Viridiplantae; Streptophyta; Magnoliopsida; Fabales; Fabaceae. The record is from RNAcentral.
UCGUUAAGUAAUAAAAUUUAUAAGAUUCGUAUCCACAGGGAUUGUUCUUAUUUUCAACUAGACAAUUAAAUUAAAUUAGGAUUAAUAAAUAAAUUGCAAAGGGUGGGUUUUCAGAUUGAUUUGUAGUAACAAUGACAAUAAUUAAAAUUGCAAGAAAGUUGAAACGUGUGCUUUUAUGAGAGAAAGACGAUUAGAAAUUAUUUUGAAUCAUCUCUUUGUCCCUAUCUGGUACUCUAGGUUCUAGCCCUCAACAAUAAAAUUCUUAUAAUUACGAUAAUUUAGCAAAAUAGACCGAGUCCAAUUC